GCGCGACCGGAAGUGACGCAACGGAGGCGGCGGCGGCUCCGGCGGGUUAAUUAAGGGCCAUGGGGGAGCUGAGUGACCUGGACCGGCAAAUCGAGCAACUGCGGCGCUGCGAGCUCAUCAAAGAGAGCGAGGUGAAGGCUCUGUGCGCCAAGGCCAGGGAGAUUCUGGUGGAGGAGAGCAACGUGCAGAGAGUGGAUUCACCCGUCACGGUGAGUG
Long non-coding RNA from Malurus melanocephalus (red-backed fairy wren), 216 nucleotides. RefSeq lists it as uncharacterized. Lineage: Eukaryota; Metazoa; Chordata; Aves; Passeriformes; Maluridae. The record is from RefSeq and is a predicted model, not a curated record. The transcript has 3 exons.